GUUGUCACUCUGCAGGCUGUGACCCCCACAGGAAGCUGCCUGCAAACUCAGGUAGCUUUUCUGGUUCUUAAAGAGGUCUUGAACAUUCUUGCAGAGAAACGCCAACCAAAAGUGUAGUCAUCCGGGAAGAGAAGAGCCGGAGAGAAAAAAAAAUAACACUUGGACUGGCACCAGAAGGAAGAGGCCAUGAAACUUGAAAACUUUGCCUGGGAUGACUCCUUUAUUGAAGCUUUUCACGAUCCUGAGGGGAAGACCCAGGGAAGCUGCACCUGGGACUGCUGCCCAUGGAAUCUGAGCUCAGAAGAGUCACUGCAAGAUUUUGUUACUCUAUGUCAGCAUCAUUAACAUCUACACCAAUGAAGAUGUGGCUUCAGAUCUGUGGAUGCAAACCACUGCUUUUUUCUGCCUUAAAGAGUGAUAGAAAGCUAGCCACUGGGUGUUGUCCAUGUACUGCAGGGAGAAGCAGACGGAGCUGCCUGGUGCCCGUGGAGCUCAGAGCAUCCACAAAUCUGGCACCAUUCUUUGACGCCAAGUCUCCCGAAAAUCACCGUGGAUUACCAGAGGAAGCAGCAACUGAAGGAAGAAGAGAUUACUUUGGUCACAGUCUGAGGGGGUGUGACCCAUCAUGAUGGAGAAGAGAGCAGAACUUGAAGGUAAGAUCUUAUGGCUGAAGACACCACAUUCAAAUGCAAGACUUGGAUCUAAACUGGAACUGACCGGGAAACCUCCUCUCCUGAAUACUGUCUCUUACAGUACCAGAAACGUCUAUGCAAUCUUCCAAUGGAGAAAAGCAAUUAAAAGUCCUACCUGGAUGUAAAUCCAACAAACCACAGCAUGGCAUAAUGUACCUAAGUGUGCAAUAGUGGCACUUCCAUCUUGACUUAACCAACACCCAUCUAACUGGACUUUAGAUCUACUUAUAAUAGAAGAGAAUUUAUAGCUGUUUCUGUAAGCCUAUGGUUGGUGAGGUCAUGGGCUCUAGAGGAGGACUACUGUUCCAUAUUCCUAUAAACCAGUGUAACUCCCAAGUACAUUCUAAAUGCCUAUACGUACACCCUAGAUAAGUUAAGCACUCACCCAUCACCAAAGGAGCUUCCCCUUGCUGCAGUCAGAGACCAGUACAGAAAUCCGCAACUGGCCAGACUGAAGAGAACAGCUGACUAUGGAUGGGGUGCCCAUCCCUCACUGAUAUGUCUACAACAAAGCCCUUACACCUGAGCGUCAGAGAAUAUUGUGGAAGAUGGGACGGAACGACUGUAUGAGCUAGAGGACCAAGAUACCCGCUGUGAGAUAGUGCCUUCUAGAUGACAAGGGGACUGCAUUUAUCUAACAAUCUAAACAAUACAGUCACAUAAAGAUCUAUAUGAUGACCAUAAAUAUCAGGUGACAACUCAACAUAUGGGGGAAAUUCCUAUAAGUCCUAGAAGAAGAGCUACAGGCAAUCAAUAGCUGCUCUGAGGAAGAGAAUCAAUUUUUUCCCUGGGAAUUGGCCCCUUUAUAAGUUAUCCACUCCUAAUUGGUCAUCCCUAAACACAUAUAUACAUAUGAACAACACCAAAUGGAUUCAUCAAGUUAUGUUGUGUGUAGCUUUUGCUACCCUGACUAAGCUUCGCGAAUGGGCAGCAAUUACUAGGCCCUACCUAGCUUCCCUUGAAACCACAGAUAAGAAACACACACAAACACACACACACACACACACUUGUUUAUUUUUCAACUUGCCUUCUUGGCACAAUUGCUGGGCAUUAUUAAACUCCCAAGGCUAGCAGGCCUUAUCAAUAUUCACAUCUCCACACCUUAAACUUUAAUUGCUCAGUUACAGUUAGUCCCUGCUAAACAUCCCCAACCAACCAGAGAUCUCACAUGGCUGGUCAACUUUUCUCCCUCAGAAGGAUUGCAAGCUUCUCUCCUCCUUUCUGUCCGUCUUCUUGCCUCCAGGGACCUAAAAGUCUCAUGUGUUCCUUCCCUUCAGCAAUUGGCCCAUGGCUUCUUUACUGACAGAUCAAGAACCAAUUGGGGAACAGGACCUUAUCAUUAGAACCACCCUACAAAGUUAAAUACAUACAUACAUAUAUAGGAAUAGUAAGUAGAGAGGAAGAGAUUACGAAGUUGGGAAGGAGUUGGGAAAGACAUUGAGGGGAAUUGGGGUGGGGAAUGUGAGGAAGGGAUGGUGUAAAUAUUGUGCUCAAGUAUUAAAUUCUCAAAUAAUAAUAAAACAAAUGUCUCUUAAUCCUAUAAACUAUCUUAUAGUUCUACAGUCUAGGAGCCUGAACCAUGAUCCCUCCAGAAUAAAAACACUGUAUCAGUA
This is a long non-coding RNA of Apodemus sylvaticus (European woodmouse), 2305 nucleotides long. RefSeq lists it as uncharacterized. The record is from RefSeq and is a predicted model, not a curated record. NCBI's taxonomy places the organism in Eukaryota, Metazoa, Chordata, Mammalia, Rodentia, Muridae. The transcript has 6 exons.